AUUGAACGCUGGCGGCAUGCCUUACACAUGCAAGUCGAACGGCAGCACGGGAGCAAUCCUGGUGGCGAGUGGCGAACGGGUGAGUAAAGUAUCGGAACGUGCCCAGUCGUGGGGGAUGACGUAGCGAAAGUUACGCUAAUACCGCAUACGAUCUAUGGAUGAAAGCGGGGGAUCGCAAGACCUCGCGCGAUUGGAGCGGCCGAUAUCAGAUUAGGUAGUUGGUGGGGUAAAGGCUCACCAAGCCGACGAUCUGUAGCUGGUCUGAGAGGACGACCAGCCACACUGGGACUGAGGCACGGCCCAGACUCCUACGGGAGGCAGCAGUGGGGAAUUUUGGACAAUGGGCGCAAGCCUGAUCCAGCCAUGCCGCGUGCAGGAUGAAGGCCUUCGGGUUGUAAACUGCUUUUGUACGGAACGAAAAGGUUUGACUUAAUACGUUGGACUCAUGACGGUACCGUAAGAAUAAGCACCGGCUAACUACGUGCCAGCAGCCGCCGUAA
Molecule: ribosomal RNA, 500 nt
Filed under: uncultured bacterium
Lineage: Bacteria
Description: partial 16S ribosomal RNA
Rfam family: Bacterial small subunit ribosomal RNA
Source: RNAcentral